CACAAAAUUUGUCGUUGUAUCAAACCAGAAAUUCUCACAAUUCAAGCGAAUGCAGAUUGAUUCAAGUGACAAAAACGUCAACAUUAAAUGCAGAGUGUGCGAAAAUGAAUUUCCAAACGAAGUGCGGUUCGAUGAACAUCUCAAAGGGAAUCCGAAAUGCGAAAAAUUGACUUGCGACGUGUGUCGGAAACAAUCUAAUUCGAUCUCUCAUUUCAAUACUCACAAGUUAAUACAUUCGAAUGAAAAGACAUUUAAAUGCGAGGAAUGUGACUAUUCGACCAGAUAUAGAUCACAUUUGAAAAGACACAAGAAUAAACACUCAAAAAAAGAACUUUUUAAAUGUAGCUAUUGUAAUUAUUCAACCGUAUGGAAAGACUGUUUAGACAAACAUAUUUUGCUAACACAUUCUAAAGAACCGAAUUUUACUGGCAACCUUCCAUCGAGAUAUCAGAAUUUGGAAAAAUAUCGAUGCAAGCUUUGCCCGAAAAUUUGUUCAACUCCAGCUGAGUUAAAACGUCACGAUUAAGGUCAUAGUAAAGAAAAACCAUUCCAGUGUGAUUAUUGCUUUAAAAGAUUUACACGACGAGAUAAUUUAAAUCAACACAAGCGAAUCUUUCACUCAACAGAAAAAAAACAAUCUUUGUCUCAGCAAAUUGAAAAAGAAGGCGUGUCAAUGACUUUUAAAGUCUCUGAACAGACUGAUGGGCACCCUUCUUGUGACAUGUCGGCUUCAGAAUCAAUGCAAGGAAAGCAUCUUAACAGAAACGAAAAAGAUAUAACUUCGAAAUCUUCAGAACCAUUAUGGCAAUGUCUUCAAUGUCACUUCACUACAAACUCCAAGGAAGAUUGGUUUCUACAUAAACAGACACAUAAUGAUGAAGCCCAUUCCUCAUCAAUGGAACAGGAAGAAACAGAUUCAGAAGUGUUGAGAACAGCCGAAAUUCUCGUCGAAAUUAGAGAAAAAAGAUUGCAGACGAUAAAAGAUGAAAAGAAAUGUCCUGAUCCUGAUACACGGUCAAGUUCACAAUAACUUGCAAAUAUAUAUUAUUGGCUGUUAUCUAAUCCCUGCUUUUUUAAUUAAAAUUGCAAGAUAUUUAUCAAACUGGAAUACUUUCAUGCGAAAUUCUUACGAUUGGCUUCUAAAUUGUAAUUUUUUAAGAAUUAAACUUUUUAAU
Long non-coding RNA from Centruroides sculpturatus (bark scorpion), 1175 nucleotides. RefSeq lists it as uncharacterized. The record is from RefSeq and is a predicted model, not a curated record. The transcript has 5 exons. Lineage: Eukaryota; Metazoa; Arthropoda; Arachnida; Scorpiones; Buthidae.